This 497-nucleotide ribosomal RNA is filed under the name uncultured bacterium. Its description in RNAcentral is "partial 16S ribosomal RNA". It matches the Rfam family "Bacterial small subunit ribosomal RNA", at positions 28 to 507 of the family's 1533-position model. The record is from RNAcentral.
GAUGAACGCUGGCGGCGUGCCUAAUACAUGCAAGUCGAGCGAACAGAUGAGGAGCUUGCUCCUCUGACGUUAGCGGCGGACGGGCGAGUAACACGUGGAUAACCUACCUAUAAGACUGGGAUAACUUCGGGAAACCGGAGCUAAUACCGGAUAAUAUAUUGAACCGCAUGGUUCAAUAGUGAAAGACGGUUUUGCUGUCACUUAUAGAUGGAUCCGCGCCGCAUUAGCUAGUUGGUAAGGUAACGGCUUACCAAGGCAACGAUGCGUAGCCGACCUGAGAGGGUGAGCGGCCACACUGGAACUGAGACACGGUCCAGACUCCUACGGGAGGCAGCAGUAGGGAAUCUUCCGCAAAGGGCGAAAGCCUGACGGAGCAACGCCGCGUGAGUGAUGAAGGUCUUCGGAUCGUAAAACUCUGUUAUUAGGGAAGAACAAAUGUGUAAGUAACUAUGCACGUCUUGACGGUACCUAAUCAGAAAGCCACGGCUAACUACGUG